AGUCAUGGUUAAGUGGGAAACGAUGUGGGAAGGCCCAGACAGCCAGGAUGUUGGCUUAGAAGCAGCCAUCAUUUAAAGAAAGCGUAAUAGCUCACUGGUCGAGUCGGCCUGCGCGGAAGAUGUAACGGGGCUAAACCAUGCACCGAAGCUGCGGCAGCGACGCUUAUGCGUUGUUGGGUAGGGGAGCGUUCUGUAAGCCUGUGAAGGUGUGCUGUGAGGUAUGCUGGAGGUAUCAGAAGUGCGAAUGCUGACAUAAGUAACGAUAAAGCGGGUGAAAAGCCCGCUCGCCGGAAGACCAAGGGUUCCUGUCCAACGUUAAUCGGGGCAGGGUGAGUCGACCCCUAAGGCGAGGCCGAAAGGCGUAGUCGAUGGGAAACAGGUUAAUAUUCCUGUACUUGGUGUUACUGCGAAGGGGGGACGGAGAAGGCUAUGUUGGCCGGGCGACGGUUGUCCCGGUUUAAGCGUGUAGGCUGGUUUUCCAGGCAAAUCCGGAAAAUCAAGGCCGAGGCGUGAUGACGAGGCACUACGGUGCUGAAGCAACAAAUGCCCUGCUUCCAGGAAAAGCCUCUAAGCAUCAGGUAACAUCAAAUCGUACCCCAAACCGACACAGGUGGUCAGGUAGAGAAUACCAAGGCGCUUGAGAGAACUCGGGUGAAGGAACUAGGCAAAAUGGUGCCGUAACUUCGGGAGAAGGCACGCUGAUACGUAGGUGAAGCGACUUGCUCGUGGAGCUGAAAUCAGUCGAAGAUACCAGCUGGCUGCAACUGUUUAUUAAAAACACAGCAC
RNAcentral lists this ribosomal RNA (786 nucleotides) under Escherichia coli. RNAcentral's name for it is "partial 23S ribosomal RNA". It matches the Rfam family "Bacterial large subunit ribosomal RNA", at positions 1051 to 1821 of the family's 2925-position model. Lineage: Bacteria; Pseudomonadati; Pseudomonadota; Gammaproteobacteria; Enterobacterales; Enterobacteriaceae. RNAcentral also lists the same sequence under 2 other names. The record is from RNAcentral.